UCGGGGAUGGUGUAAUUGGAAACACAAUGGGUUCUGGUCCCAUUAUUGAGGGUUCAAAUCCUUCUCCCCGAG
RNAcentral lists this transfer RNA (72 nucleotides) under Candidatus Actinomarinales bacterium. RNAcentral's name for it is "tRNA-Gln". It matches the Rfam family "tRNA". Rfam says of the family: Transfer RNA (tRNA) molecules are approximately 80 nucleotides in length. Their secondary structure includes four short double-helical elements and three loops (D, anti-codon, and T loops). The record is from RNAcentral. Lineage: Bacteria; Bacillati; Actinomycetota; Actinomycetes; Candidatus Actinomarinales.